CCUACGGGAGGCAGCAGUGGGGAAUAUUGCACAAUGGGGGAAACCCUGAUGCAGCGACGCCGCGUGAGUGAAGAAGUAUUUCGGUAUGUAAAGCUCUAUCAGCAGGGAAGAUAAUGACGGUAUUUGUGAAAGAAGCCAUGGCGAACAACGUGCCAGCAGCCCCGGUAAUACGUAGGGGCCAAGCGUUAACCGGAUUUACGGGUGGUAAGGGGAGCGUAGACGGCUUGGCAUGUAUGAAGUGAAAGCCCGGGGAUUAACCGGGGGAUUGCUUUGGAUACUGUUAAGCUGGAGUGCAGGAGAGGUGAGUGGAAUUCCUAGUGUAGCGGUGAAAUGCGUAGAGAUUAGGAGGAACACCAGUGGCGAAGGCGGCUUACUGGACUAUAACUGACGUUGAGGCUCGAAAGCGUGGGGAGCAAACAGGAUUAGAUACCCGGGUAGUC
Molecule: ribosomal RNA, 440 nt
Filed under: uncultured bacterium
Lineage: Bacteria
Description: partial 16S ribosomal RNA
Rfam family: Bacterial small subunit ribosomal RNA
Source: RNAcentral